AGCUAAGCUAGAUUGACAAUGAGAAGAGCUGAAGUGAAGGUUUUUUUUUUGUUUUUUAGAAACAAUGACAGAGGCACUGCCUUAUUUAAAAAAAAAGGCUAGACACUGGGGAAGUACCAAUGUC
Molecule: small nuclear RNA, 124 nt
Filed under: Oryza sativa Japonica Group (Japanese rice)
Lineage: Eukaryota; Viridiplantae; Streptophyta; Magnoliopsida; Poales; Poaceae
Description: U4 spliceosomal RNA
Source: RNAcentral